This 468-nucleotide ribosomal RNA is filed under the name uncultured bacterium. Its description in RNAcentral is "partial 16S ribosomal RNA". It matches the Rfam family "Bacterial small subunit ribosomal RNA", at positions 28 to 507 of the family's 1533-position model. The record is from RNAcentral.
GACGAACGCUGGCGGCGUGCUUAACACAUGCAAGUCGAACGGAAAGGCCCUGCUUUUGUGGGGUGCUCGAGUGGCGAACGGGUGAGUAACACGUGAGUAACCUGCCCUUGACUUUGGGAUAAGUUAAGGAAACUGGGGUUAAUACCGGAUAGGAGCCCCUGCUGCAGGGAGGGGGUUGGAAAGUUUCGGCGGGUGGGGAUGGACUCGCGGCUUAUCAGCUAGUUGGUGGGGUAGUGGCUUACCAAGGCUGUGACGGGUAGCCGGCCUGAGAGGGUGACCGGCCACAUUGGGACUGAGAUACGGCCCAGACUCCUACGGGAGGCAGCAGUGGGGAAUAUUGCACAAUGGGCGGAAGCCUGAUGCAGCAACGCCGCGUGCGGGAUGACGGCCUUCGGGUUGUAAACCGCUUUCGCCUGUGACGAAGCGUGAGUGACGGUAAUGGGUAAAGAAGCACCGGCUAACUACGUG